Molecule: ribosomal RNA, 253 nt
Filed under: uncultured bacterium
Lineage: Bacteria
Description: partial 16S ribosomal RNA
Rfam family: Bacterial small subunit ribosomal RNA
Source: RNAcentral
GACGUAGGGCGCGAGCGUUGUCCGGAUUUAUUGGGCGUAAAGAGCUCGUAGGCGGUUUGUCGCGUCGUCUGUGAAAUCCCACGGCUCAACUGUGGGCUUGCAGUCGAUACGGGCAGGCUAGAGUUCGGUAGGGGAGACUGGAAUUCCUGGUGUAGCGGUGAAAUGCGCAGAUAUCAGGAGGAACACCGGUGGCGAAGGCGGGUCUCUGGGCCGAUACUGACGCUGAGGAGCGAAAGCGUGGGGAGCGAACAGG